Lipotes vexillifer (Yangtze River dolphin) is the source of this 72-nucleotide non-coding RNA. The record is from the annotation of a RefSeq genome assembly. Lineage: Eukaryota; Metazoa; Chordata; Mammalia; Artiodactyla; Lipotidae.
UCCCUGGUGGUCUAGUGGUUAGAAUUCGGUGCUUUCACCACCGUGACCCAGGUUCAAUCCCUGGUCGGGGAA